GCUCCCUGUGCGGCUGAACAGCUUGCACACCAGUAAGGCCGACCCUGACUGGAUAAUCCAGGCAGGACCAGCAAACAGUAUUUGUCAGGUUAAACAAGUAGGCAAAUGUUUACCAGGUGGUCCAGGAUGGGAUCAGGCAGACAAGGGUUGGCCAAAACAGGUUCAGGCAGGCAUGAGUUAACCACAGCUGGUUCAGUCAGGCAAGGGUUAACCAAGGCAGACAGAAGUUUAAACUAGAUAUGUUCAGGCAGGCAGGGGUUAACCAAGGCAGAGGAGGUUUGUAAUCUAUCUCCUUCAAUGUAUAUUUUUCACUAUUCUCCAUCAAUUGAGUCUCUCUUGGUUGUCAACCCUUGCCAUUCCUCUUGUGACUCUAUCUCAUCCCACUAUUAUCAACGAUCUUACUUAAUGAUGUUGCCUUUCAAAUGUGCUUCUGCUACACCUCACGUUUCUCCUUUCCAAACACCCCACUAGUGCAGGGGCGUUUUAGCAUUUGCCUUGGGCGGCAUUUUUCAGGGGGCGGCAAAAGACGCCGCCCCCCAAAUGCCCAGGGCAAAUGUCUUGUUAGCCUCGCAGUUAACUGACAUGCCGAGCGGGCGGCGCUGGGCAGGAGGCUGGCGAGGGAGCUCUUCCUC
Pelobates cultripes (western spadefoot toad) is the source of this 632-nucleotide non-coding RNA. The record is from the annotation of a GenBank genome assembly. Lineage: Eukaryota; Metazoa; Chordata; Amphibia; Anura; Pelobatidae.